AAAACAGUUCCAGUAACUAAACCAGAAUCCACCGGUGAACCUUCAGAAUCAACUUCUCGUGGUGUUGAUGCUUCUUCAAUUCCUCAUGAAAACCAUGAUGCUGCUGAGGCUUCUAAGCCUCAUGAAAAUACUCCUUCUGAAACUGCACCUGUUAAAAGUGAUGAAAAUACACCUUUAAGUGUUGAUGCGGAUAAAGAGGAGUGAUAAUAAGGGUUGAAUAAUAAAUAAAAUACUAAUUCUACUCAAAUAAUGGGAAACAAAUGCAUAAGAGCUUCUGAUAGAGACAUCCUUUGUGAGUGAAUUAAACAUAUAGGCCAACU
Molecule: long non-coding RNA, 320 nt
Filed under: Medicago truncatula (barrel medic)
Lineage: Eukaryota; Viridiplantae; Streptophyta; Magnoliopsida; Fabales; Fabaceae
Description: long non-coding RNA (MTRU_LNC004207)
Source: RNAcentral